Molecule: ribosomal RNA, 301 nt
Filed under: uncultured bacterium
Lineage: Bacteria
Description: partial 16S ribosomal RNA
Rfam family: Bacterial small subunit ribosomal RNA
Source: RNAcentral
CAGCCGCCGCGGUAAUACGUAGGUGGCAAGCGUUGUCCGGAAUUAUUGGGCGUAAAGGGCUCGCAGGCGGUUUCUUAAGUCUGAUGUGAAAGCCCCCGGCUCAACCGGGGAGGGUCAUUGGAAACUGGGAAACUUGAGUGCAGAAGAGGAGAGUGGAAUUCCACGUGUAGCGGUGAAAUGCGUAGAGAUGUGGAGGAACACCAGUGGCGAAGGCGACUCUCUGGUCUGUAACUGACGCUGAGGAGCGAAAGCGUGGGGAGCGAACAGGAUUAGAGACCCCCGUAGUCCCUGUCUCUUAUAA